CUACGGGCGGCAGCAGUGGGGAAUAUUGCACAAUGGAGGAAACUCUGAUGCAGCCAUGCCGCGUGUGUGAAGAAGGCCCGAGGGUUGUAAAGCACUUUCAGUUGGGAGGAAGGUUAUGUAGUUAAUACCUGCAUAAUUUGACGUUACCUUCAGAAGAAGCACCGGCUAACUCUGUGCCAGCAGCCGCGGUAAUACAGAGGGUGCAAGCGUUAUUCGGAAUUACUGGGCGUAAAGCGCGCGUAGGCGGACUGUUAAGUCGGUUGUGAAAGCCCUGGGCUCAACCUGGGAAUGGCAUCCGAACUGGCAAUCUAGAAUUUAAGAGAGGGAAGGGGAAUUCCUAGUGUAGCAGUGAAAUGCGUAGAUAUUAGGAGGAACAUCAGUGGCGAAGGCGCCUUCCUGGCUUAAAAUUGACGCUGAGGUGCGAAAGCGUGGGUAGCGAACGGGAUUAGAUACCCUGGUAGUC
RNAcentral lists this ribosomal RNA (463 nucleotides) under uncultured bacterium. RNAcentral describes it as "partial 16S ribosomal RNA". It matches the Rfam family "Bacterial small subunit ribosomal RNA", at positions 339 to 795 of the family's 1533-position model. The record is from RNAcentral.